UACAGAGGGUGCAAGCGUUAAUCGGAUUGACUGGGCGUAAAGGGCGCGUAGGCGGUAAGAUAAGUCGAGUGUUAAAAACCCGAGCUCAACUUGGGGAGUGCAUUCGAAACUAUCUCACUAGAGUACAGUAGAGGAGAGCGGAAUUUCCGGUGUAGCGGUGAAAUGCGUAGAUAUCGGAAGGAACACCAGUGGCGAAGGCGGCUCUCUGGACUGAAACUGACGCUGAGGCGCGAAAGCGUGGGGAGCAAACAGGAUUAGAUACCCCCGUA
Molecule: ribosomal RNA, 269 nt
Filed under: uncultured prokaryote
Description: partial 16S ribosomal RNA
Rfam family: Bacterial small subunit ribosomal RNA
Source: RNAcentral